UCGGGAAUUUUGGGCAAUGGGCGAAAGCCUGACCCAGCAACGCCGCGUGAAGGAUGAAGUUUUUCGGAAUGUAAACUUCGUAAGAAUAGGAAGAAUAAAUGACGGUACUAUUUGUAAGGUCCGGCUAACUACGUGCCAGCAGCCGCGGUAAUACGUAGGGACCAAGCGUUGUUCGGAUUUACUGGGCGUAAAGGGCGCGUAGGCGGCAAUUCAAGUCAGCUGUGAAAUCUCCGGGCUUAACUCGGAACGGUCAGCUGAUACUGCUUUGCUAGAGUGCAGAAGGGGCAAUCGGAAUUCUUGGUGUAGCGGUGAAAUGCGUAGAUAUCAAGAGGAACACCUGAGGUGAAGACGGGUUGCUGGGCUGACACUGACGCUGAGGCGCGAAAGCUAGGGUAGCAAACGGGAUUAGAUACCCCGGUAGUCCUAGCCCUAAACGAUGAAUACUUGGUGUCGCGGGUAUCGACCCCUGCUGUGCCGAAGCUAACGCAUUAAGCACUCCGCCU
This 503-nucleotide ribosomal RNA is filed under the name uncultured Acidobacteriota bacterium. RNAcentral's name for it is "bacterial SSU rRNA". It matches the Rfam family "Bacterial small subunit ribosomal RNA", at positions 355 to 874 of the family's 1533-position model. The record is from RNAcentral. Lineage: Bacteria; Pseudomonadati; Acidobacteriota.